CAGCAGCCACGGUAAUACGUAGGUGGCAAGCGUUGUCCGGAAUUAUUGGGCGUAAAGCGCGCGCAGGUGGUUUAAUAAGUCUGAUGUGAAAGCCCACGGCUCUACCGUGGAGGGUCAUUGGAAACUGUUAAACUUGAGUGCAGGAGAGAAAAGUGGAAUUCCUAGUGUAGCGGUGAAAUGCGUAGAGAUUAGGAGGAACACCAGUGGCGAAGGCGGCUUUUUGGCCUGUAACUGACACUGAGGCGCGAAAGCGUGGGGAGCAAACAGGAUUAGAUACCCGCGUAGUCCCUGUCUCUUAUAA
This 301-nucleotide ribosomal RNA is filed under the name uncultured bacterium. RNAcentral's name for it is "partial 16S ribosomal RNA". It matches the Rfam family "Bacterial small subunit ribosomal RNA", at positions 509 to 809 of the family's 1533-position model. The record is from RNAcentral.